GUGUCAGCCGCCGCGGUAAUACGUAGGGGGCAAGCGUUGUCCGGAAUCAUUGGGCGUAAAGGGCGCGUAGGCGGAUAGUUAAGUCUGGUGUGAAAGGUCAGGGCUCAACCCUGAGAGUGCAUCGGAAACUGGCUAUCUUGAGGACAGGAGAGGAAAGUGGAAUUCCACGUGUAGCGGUGAAAUGCGUAGAUAUGUGGAGGAACACCAGUGGCGAAGGCGACUUUCUGGACUGUAACUGACGCUGAGGCGCGA
This 252-nucleotide ribosomal RNA is filed under the name uncultured bacterium. RNAcentral's name for it is "partial 16S rRNA". It matches the Rfam family "Bacterial small subunit ribosomal RNA", at positions 505 to 756 of the family's 1533-position model. The record is from RNAcentral.